RNAcentral lists this long non-coding RNA (1007 nucleotides) under Salvia miltiorrhiza (redroot sage). RNAcentral's name for it is "long non-coding RNA (SMIL_LNC009322)". Lineage: Eukaryota; Viridiplantae; Streptophyta; Magnoliopsida; Lamiales; Lamiaceae. The record is from RNAcentral.
UUUUAUAUAAAAUAAUAAUAAAAAAUAAUUAUAAAUUUACUAUAUUACCCUAUAAUUAUAGCCUCUAAAUUAAAUCUUGUAUAUUCUUUUUUCAGCUAAUCAAUCAACAUAACCCCGUCCCUUUCUUCCUAAAUCUACAGUCCACCGCCACCUCCUCCUAUUCCGGUGAAGGUUAUCGCCGCUUCAACCACAACCACCACCGGCACCUUUCAUUCUCGGCCUCUAACACUCUCUCUCUCCGCCCCAGAACAUGCACCACCAAAAGAGACAUCGUCCCAUCCUUCUUCCUAAAUCCACUGUCACUGCCAUCGCCCCCUUAAGAUUUCCGGCAAACAGCAGCGAAGGGCUGCUGCCGUCGCCCAAGCCUCCUCGUCUCUCGUUCUUUGACUCAUGUCCCUAUCCCUCUUUGAAACCUUAGAUCCCCAAAUCUGCUAGUGCUCCCUCCCUCGAUUUCCGGCGAGCAGAAAGAGAGAGAAAUGGGUAAAGGGAAGUUCAAGGGUAAGCCGUCAUUUCUCCACCAUUGAAGAGAUGAUUGUUGUUAAAAUCAAAGAACUUGCAAGCAUGUGCUGCGGUGUCGACGAUUGCAGAUGUCGUCCCUUGGCUUCUCCUCGGCCUCCCCUCCGUUGCCAUCCUUCUCUCCUUCCUCGGCAUCGUCAUUUGGAUCGUCGGGAUUUUGUUGAGCUGCUUGUGUCCGUGUUGCUGAGCUCAUUCUCUGAUUUUUUUAGUUUUUGUGGCUUAGACAACUUUCUAGCAUUGUUUAUGCUCUUGUGUGCGUGUUCUAAUUCUUUAUCCGACGAGUUGCACUAUGUGUCUACUUAUAUUUGGAAAUUUGGAAAUGGGCUAUACGUACUGAUGUGUCUUCUUAUAUUUGUUGUUUAAGGGAAAAUACAUAUCACAACAUCGUGUGUCUCUGUGUUUCUUCUUCUUCAUGCGUUUGUGGUUCUUUUCUGAAAGAAUCACAUAAGAUUUUGAGUGGGGGCUAUACUGAUGGAUUAAAUUCAAGAGGG